Molecule: ribosomal RNA, 273 nt
Filed under: uncultured bacterium
Lineage: Bacteria
Description: partial 16S ribosomal RNA
Rfam family: Bacterial small subunit ribosomal RNA
Source: RNAcentral
UACGGAGGGUGCAAGCGUUGUCCGGAUUUAUUGGGUUUAAAGGGUGCGUAGGCGGCCUGUUAAGUCAGCGGUGAAAGCCCGGGGCUCAACCCCGGAACCGCCGUUGAUACUGGAAGGCUUGAGUACAGACGAGGUAGGCGGAAUUGAGGGUGUAGCGGUGAAAUGCUUAGAUACCCUCAAGAACACCGAUUGCGUAGGCAGCUUACUAGGCUGUAACUGACGCUGAGGCACGAAAGCGUGGGGAGCGAACAGGAUUAGAAACCCCCGUAGUCC